GACAGAGGGUGCAAACGUUGCUCGGAAUUACUGGGCGUAAAGCGCGUGUAGGCGGACCACCAAGUCGGACGUGAAAGCCCUGAGCUCAACUCAGGAACUGCAUCCGAAACUGGCGGUCUGGAGUAGUGGAGAGGAAAGCAGAAUUCCUGGUGUAGAGGUGAAAUUCGUAGAUAUCAGGAGGAACACCGGUGGCGGAGGCGGCUUUCUGGACACUUACUGACGCUGAGACGCGAAAGCGUGGGGAGCAAACAGG
RNAcentral lists this ribosomal RNA (253 nucleotides) under uncultured bacterium. RNAcentral describes it as "partial 16S ribosomal RNA". It matches the Rfam family "Bacterial small subunit ribosomal RNA", at positions 524 to 776 of the family's 1533-position model. The record is from RNAcentral.